CCACGAAGUUGGAUUCGCUAGUAAUCGCGCAUCAGCCAUGGCGCGGUGAAUACGUUCCCGGGCCUUGUACACACCGCCCGUCAAGCCAUGGGAGCCGGGGGCGCCUGAAGUCCGGGACCGCGAGGACCGGCCUAGGGCGAAACUGGUAACUGGGGCUAAGUCGUAACAAGGUACC
RNAcentral lists this ribosomal RNA (175 nucleotides) under uncultured bacterium. RNAcentral describes it as "partial 16S ribosomal RNA". It matches the Rfam family "Bacterial small subunit ribosomal RNA", at positions 1318 to 1500 of the family's 1533-position model. The record is from RNAcentral.